CUUUGUUAAAAUGGAAACGGGAAUUUUGAAUAAUGGUGACAUUAAGAACGAAUAAGAAAGGGGGUUUUAAUAAACUAGUUAGUACUUUUGCAGGAAAUUUUGGUUUAGAUCCUUCUGUAAGGGAAGAGGGUAUGAUAAAGACAUAGCACCAAGUGGGAAUAUUGCAUUUCUUGUAUGAUUUUCCUGAAAGGGAAUGGCGGAUAUGUGGAGGAAUAGUGCUAUUGAAGUCACCCUUGUCCAAGCAAACCUACUGUUUAAAUCUCUCCUCCAUUUCUUCCCAACGUCCUUUCACCUACCUUCGCCAAAUGGGGUGGCUUAAGUCCCUCCUCUCCCCACUGAAGAAAAUCUGGGAACGGCUACACUCCAGCAACCGAAAGCCUAGGGGAAUUUAUAUAUUGUACAAGGACGUGAAGUCUUGCCCAUGCGAAGAUGUGCAAGUUCUGUGGUCUAUACUGGUCGAGUCACGAACACCUUCUUUGCCAUCAACGUGAUGAUCAAGUCUCUCUUGCCGGCCUUAUAGCAAAACCAUAAAACAGGAUGAUAAUUUUCACUUCAUGUACAUAAAUACUACAUUGUACUUAUGAGUAAUCAUAUUUCUCUGCACUGUUUCCCUUU
Molecule: long non-coding RNA, 615 nt
Organism: Alnus glutinosa
Lineage: Eukaryota; Viridiplantae; Streptophyta; Magnoliopsida; Fagales; Betulaceae
Exons: 2
Source: RefSeq, a predicted model, not a curated record